Molecule: ribosomal RNA, 680 nt
Filed under: uncultured bacterium
Lineage: Bacteria
Description: bacterial SSU rRNA
Rfam family: Bacterial small subunit ribosomal RNA
Source: RNAcentral
CGAUUAGGCAGCAGUGGGGAAUAUCCGGCAAUGGGCGCAAGCCUGACCGAGCAACGCCGCGUGAGUGAUUAAGGCCUUCGGGUUGUAAAGCUCUGUUGUAAGGGAAGAAAAAUCAGUAGAGGAAAUGAUACUGAUCUGACGGUACCUUACCAGAAAGCCACGGCUAACUACGUGCCAGCAGCCGCGGUAAUACGUAGGUGGCAAGCGUUAUCCGGAAUUAUUGGGCGUAAAGGGUGCGUAGGCGGUUUAUUAAGUCUAUGGUGAAAGUGCGGGGCUCAACCCCGUAUGGCCAUAGAAACUGAUAGACUAGAGUGCAGGAGAGGGCAAUGGAAUUCCAUGUGUAGCGGUAAAAUGCGUAGAUAUAUGGAGGAACACCAGUGGCGAAGGCGGUUGCCUGGCCUGUAACUGACGCUGAAGCACGAAAGCGUGGGGAGCAAAUAGGAUUAGAUACCCUAGUAGUCCCACGCCGUAAACGAUGAAUACUAAGUUUUUGGAGAAAUUCAGUGCUGCAGUUAACGCAAUAAGUAUUUCCGCCUGGGGAGUAUGCACGCCAAGUGUGAAACUCAAAGGAAUUGACGGGACCCCCGCACAAGCGGGGGGAUUAUGUUGUUUAAUUUCGACGCAACCGAAGAAACCUUACCAGGCUUUGAAAUACUCUGAAAAACCCAAAGAUAGGGGGG